AUCCAGAUGACGAGUCCAAAAUAGGACGAAACGUGCAUCCUGGAU
Molecule: non-coding RNA, 45 nt
Filed under: Trichobilharzia regenti
Lineage: Eukaryota; Metazoa; Platyhelminthes; Trematoda; Strigeidida; Schistosomatidae
Source: RNAcentral